ACUUCUUCCCUUCCUCCUCCCCCUAACAGCAUCCUUGGUAAAACAGGAAACAGAUAAAUAACUGAUUCCUCCCUGCUCCCUCUAACAGCAUCCUUGGUAAAACAGGAAACAGAUAAAUAACUGGUUCCUCCCUGCUCCCCCUAACAGCAGCCUUGGUAAAACAGGAAACAGAUAAAUAACUGGUACCUCCCUGCUCCCCCUAACAGCAGCCUUGGUAAAACAGGAAACAGAUAAAUAACUGGUUCCUCCCUGCUCCCCCUGACAGUAGGUAAAACAGGAAACAGAUAAAUAACUGGUACCCCCCUGCUCCCCCUGACAGUAGGUAAAACAGGAAACAGAUAAAUAACUGAUACCUCCCUGCUCCCCCUGACAGUAGGUAAAACAGGAAACAGAUAAAUAACUGGUACCUGCCUGCUCCCCCUAACAGCAGCCUUGGUAAAACAGGAAACAGAUAAAUAACUGGUUCCUCCCUGCUCCCCCUGACAGUAGGUAAAACAGGAAACAGAUAAAUAACUGGUACCUCCCUGCUCCCCCUGACAGUAGGUAAAACAGGAAACAGAUAAAUAACUGGUACCUCUCUGCUCCCCCUGACAGUAGGUAAAACAGGAAACAGAUAAAUAACUGGUACCUCCCUGCUCCCCCUGACAGUAGGUAAAACAGGAAACAGAUAAAUAACUGAUACAUCCCUGCUCCCCCUGACAGUGGGUAAAACAGGAAACAGAUAAAUAACUGGUACCUCCCUGCUCCCCCUAACAGCAGCCUUGGUAAAACAGGAAACAGAUAAAUAACUGGUACCCCCUGCUCCCCCUAACAGCAGCCUUGGUAAAACAGGAAACAGAUAAAUAACUGGUACCCCCCUGCUCCCCCUAACAGCAGCCUUGGUAAAACAGGAAACAGAUAAAUAACUGGUACCUGCCUGCUCCCCCUGACAGUAGGUAAAACAGGAAACAGAUAAAUAACUGGUACCCCCCUGCUCCCCCUAACAGCAGCCUUGGUAAAACAGGAAACAGAUAAAUAACUGGUACCUGCCUGCUCCCCCUGACAGUAGGUAAAACAGGAAACAGAUAAAUAACUGGUCUCCUCCUGCUCCCCCUAACAGCAGCCUUGGUAAAACAGGAAACAGAUAAAUAACUGGUACCCCCCCUGCUCCCCCUAACAGCAUCCUUGGUAAAACAGGAAACAGAUAAAUAACUGGUACCUCCCUGUUCCCCCUGACAGUAGGUAAAACAGGAAACAGAUAAAUAACUGGUACCCCCCUGCUCCCCCUGACAGUAG
RNAcentral lists this long non-coding RNA (1275 nucleotides) under Oncorhynchus kisutch (coho salmon). RNAcentral describes it as "lncRNA (ENSOKIG00005045571.1)". Lineage: Eukaryota; Metazoa; Chordata; Actinopteri; Salmoniformes; Salmonidae. The record is from RNAcentral.